UACGUAGGGGGCAAGCGUUGUCCGGAAUCAUUGGGCGUAAAGCGCGUGUAGGCGGUUCGAUAAGUCUGCUGUGAAAGUCCAGGGCUCAACCCUGGAAAGCCGGUGGAUACUGUCGGACUAGAGUGCGGAAGAGGCGACUGGAAUUUACGGUGUAGCAGUGAAAUGCGUAGAUAUCGUAAGGAAGACCAGUGGCGAAGGCGAGUCUCUGGGCAGUUACCGACGCUGAGGCACGAAGGCCAGGGGAGCAAACGGG
RNAcentral lists this ribosomal RNA (253 nucleotides) under uncultured bacterium. RNAcentral describes it as "partial 16S ribosomal RNA". It matches the Rfam family "Bacterial small subunit ribosomal RNA", at positions 524 to 776 of the family's 1533-position model. The record is from RNAcentral.